RNAcentral lists this microRNA precursor (103 nucleotides) under Marmota monax (woodchuck). Lineage: Eukaryota; Metazoa; Chordata; Mammalia; Rodentia; Sciuridae. The record is from RNAcentral.
AGUGGGAUAGCUAGGUCAAAUGGUGGUUCCAUUCCAAGUUUUCUAAGGAAUCUCCAUAUUGCUUUCCAGAUUGAUUGCACCAAUUUGCAGUCCUACCAGCAAU